CGCUGCCAGCAGUCCUUUACUCUGCCUUCUCACGAACCUCUACCCUUCUCCUUCUCUAUCCCUCCCUAAUCCCUAUUUCAGAUUCUCAUCACUACACACCAAUCUCUAUCCCUUCCUCACCCAUCUAACUUAUUCUUCUUCUCCUCCUCCUUCACCCAUAUCAGAGGAUCAUUGCAUCGUGCUCAAAGAUUCAUCAAUGAGCAUUGCACCCGAAAGACCUAUCGAUGAGCAUCACACCCAGAGACCCAUUGAUGAGCUUCGCACCUACCCUGCAAUUCGCUGAUGAGCAUCGGACCAUCUUGGGCACCAUUGAUGAGCAUCGGACCAUCUUGGGCACCAUUGAUGAGCAUCAUCUCCCGCUGUGUGCCAUUGUCCCUUUGCAGUUGUGAAUGCUUCAAUUGAUUUGGCUGCUGUUAUAUGCGAUUCAUGGCUUUUGGGUAUGCGAAUGCUUAGUUUUGAUUAAUUAUUGAGUGGAUUUUGAUUGAUUUUUAAUUGUUGACAUUUGUUGUUGAGACUUGCAAUAUGGUCUGCAUUUGCUUUCGGAUUUGCAAUGCUUAGUUUUGGUUAAUUAUUGAGCGGAUUUUGAUUGAUUUUUAUCGUUGAUAUUUGUUGUUGAUACUUGCAAGUUUACAGUUUUCUUCUUCUUUAUUGAUACAUGCAGUGUACAGAUUCUGCAUAUUUUGAAUCAUAAUGAUUUAUUUCUUGAAAUCAUUCGGUUUGAGAAUUUGUAUUCUCAGAAUUUGAG
Molecule: unclassified non-coding RNA, 745 nt
Filed under: Hevea brasiliensis (rubber tree)
Lineage: Eukaryota; Viridiplantae; Streptophyta; Magnoliopsida; Malpighiales; Euphorbiaceae
Source: RNAcentral